GCCCCGUCGAGAGCCACCCGCCGCCGGAGGCCGUCUCGGACGACGACGUCGACGUGCGUCGCUUCCCGCAGCUGAGCGCAGA
Molecule: non-coding RNA, 82 nt
Filed under: Prymnesium polylepis
Lineage: Eukaryota; Haptophyta; Prymnesiales; Prymnesiaceae
Source: RNAcentral